GGCCCGGUGGCAGAGUGGUGAUGCAGAGGACUGCAAAUCCUUGUACGUCGGUUCGAUUCCGGCCCGGGCCU
Molecule: transfer RNA, 71 nt
Filed under: Kiloniella litopenaei
Lineage: Bacteria; Pseudomonadati; Pseudomonadota; Alphaproteobacteria; Rhodospirillales; Kiloniellaceae
Also listed under: 2 other names
Rfam family: tRNA
About the family: Transfer RNA (tRNA) molecules are approximately 80 nucleotides in length. Their secondary structure includes four short double-helical elements and three loops (D, anti-codon, and T loops).
Source: Rfam by way of RNAcentral